UCCUCUAUGACUAGAUGGAUUUGUGGCUU
RNAcentral lists this non-coding RNA (29 nucleotides) under Homo sapiens (human). The record is from RNAcentral. Lineage: Eukaryota; Metazoa; Chordata; Mammalia; Primates; Hominidae.